Patiria miniata (bat star) is the source of this 171-nucleotide long non-coding RNA. RefSeq lists it as uncharacterized. Lineage: Eukaryota; Metazoa; Echinodermata; Asteroidea; Valvatida; Asterinidae. The record is from RefSeq and is a predicted model, not a curated record. The transcript has 3 exons.
UCAUUCAGAGUGAGAAGAUCAAGAGUGACUACACGUGUCUCUGGUUGGCAAGAUGCUAUGGCCAGUUCUACUAUGCGACCAAGGCUUUCGGUGUCCUGGAAAGAUUGGACCCCAAUCCUGAAUACUGGGAAGAGAAACACUGCGAGACAUCCUCCAAAUCUUGCGCAACAC